Molecule: RNA transcript, 3146 nt
Organism: Solanum pennellii
Lineage: Eukaryota; Viridiplantae; Streptophyta; Magnoliopsida; Solanales; Solanaceae
Gene name: F-box protein At3g07870-like
Exons: 7
Source: RefSeq, a predicted model, not a curated record
AUAUAAUCAUGAAGCUGCACAAUUAACAUGAAGCAAAAUUAGGAUUCAACCAGUGUGUAGAAGAUUGGGGUUAAUUUGCAGAAAUUCAGCUCCGGUGAAGAGAUCCGUCGCCGGAGAAAUGUCGGAUUAUUUGCCUCAAGAAUUAUUGGUUGAUAUCUUCACAAAACUACCAGUCAAAUCAAUCCUCCGAUGCAGAAGUGUUUGCAAGUCAUGGUAUUCUCUUCUUACUAGCCCUAGCUUUACCUUCACACAUCUCAAUCGACAACGAGAUAAUCAUAUGCUGAUUAGGAAUUACGGUAGAAACACUCGAUUAGAUAUGUAUCCUUUGUUUGGUAACAAUGAGAGGUUGGAUCCCGACCAUUUCUCAGAUUUUUCAUUUCGUAGAGGUUCCGUUAGUAUAGUGGGUAGUGUUAAUGGUAUUUUGUGCCUCGCCGACACCGACGCCGACACCGACGCCGACACCGACAGCGACGCCGACGCCGAUGCCGAUGCCGACUCCGCCAUCUUGACCCAUUUAUAUUUUUGUAACCUAUCCAUCAGAAAGUCGGUAAAACUCCCUGAACCAAUUCGUAGUACCUAUCGUUUCACACUGGGGUUUGGGUUUGAUUCGGUUACUAAUGACUACAAGGUGGUAAGAGUAGUACACGCUAUGGGACAAUCAAAGCCACAUGCUGAUCUUUAUAAGUUAAGUACUGGUGUUUGGGAAGACAUUUCCAAUGUCCCUGAGCCUUACAAAUUAAUUUCCAUUGAGCCACAGGUGUAUGUGAACGGCGCUUGUCAUUGGAUUUCUACUAAAUUGGAGUUGACGCCAGCUCGGAGGAAUCGGAGGGUGAUUCUUGUGUUCAACAUGCAUGAUGAGACAUUCUCAGAUAUGAUAUUGCCGAGUAGUUUAAUCAGUGAGUCACAAACACAGUUUGAUGAAGUCUUCCUUUUUGUGUCAGAGGGAUGUCUUUGUUUGGUUGAUAAUAACUAUGACAAACGUGAACCUAUUAAGAUUUGGAUGAUGAAAGAGUAUGGUGUGCCAGACUCAUGGGAGAAACAGUUCAGCAUCCAAAAUUAUCACUUUGCACUACAUUUUCCUCUUCGUGAAGAUAUCUUUUGGACACCUUACCUUGGAACGGCUGCUCCAACUGAGUUUGAGUUUGCUAAUGACUUUAUUAAGCCAAUGGCUAUAAGGAAAAAUGGUGAAAUCUUAUGGAAAGGUUACCAAAGAUUAUUGGUUUCUGUUGAUCACACAAUUGGUAGGUUUACAGAUAUUGACAUUGGUAACUCAUCAAAUGAUUGGUGUUACAAUCCACGCUAUGUUAAUUUUUACAAAGAGAGCCUUGUUUUACCUGAUAGAUGGACAAAUAAUUGUGUUGGAGAUGCUUGUGAGGAGUCAUCCGAUUUAUGGAAGAGAGACCCCAAAGAUGGGAAAAAAAGGAUCUCAAGGGCAAAAUCUAAUAUAGAAAGCGGAGUGCAUCUCUUUCUCACAUGAGUGGAUUGCGGAAGAAAGAAAGGAAGAGUAGUUGGACUUGAAGUCCUUUAGCUCAGGUUCAGGCUGGCAUUGAAGACCUCUUUGAUGUAUUGUGUAAGGUCAAAGUUUCCAUGAGCCAGAAGUGUAUGGCACAUUUAAUUCUCUAGGUUACUGAGCUUCCCUUGUUUCCUGCUUUUGACAAAGGAAAUCCUCACUCCAUCUAUGAGAAAGGUUCAACAUCAGGUCUUGUAAUAAAAACUUGCUGUACAGCUAAUUUAGCCACUGCCAUUCAUUAUUAAAGGUUUCUGCCCUUGUUUUGAAAUUACAGAAUUCUGAAAGAGUGACCAUUGGAUCUAACCAUAAGCUAAACUAUAGUUCCCGUGACAGACGACUAUUGUUGAACAAGUGACAUUCCAUCAACGACAACCGCUUGUUCAGCAAUGAUUCUGCUGCCAAGUGAACUUUGGUUUGCACUGGCGCAACACUUCUGUUAAGGUAUGUGAGCCUGUGCUGCUUAUUCUGAUGUGUGUGUGUUUUCCCUGUCGGAGGAGAGGGACAUUAUUAAAAGAUAAUUUUUUUGGUCCUUCUACUUGUAGACGACAUAUAAUAAUUAACUUGAUUUACAACCAAGGGUAAUAUUGGUAUUUCCUUUUGACAUUUUUCUUUGCUUAUUUCUGUUUUCUCCAUUAGCCACCACAAAAAUUUUAUUCCACUGAUUUUGCCUUUCAUGCCUGCACUCGGAACAUUUUUGCUCCAAACAGGGAAGAGCUUUCUUACUCUUUCCUGUUUGUUUGUUAUAACCACAAAUAAAACAAACACAAAUUUACAGGGGUCACCCACUGAAUUUAGUAGAAAAGAGAUCUAAAACAUAAUGGAAGCAUGUCUGUCAAUUUCCAAACGUUUUCUUCUUAUUUGUCCAUUUUUAAUUGCACUUACAAUUUUCAAGUCAGCUACUUCAGUUUUUGAUCAAAUCUGGCUUAAUCUUCUCAAGAUUGUUUCUUCCAAUUUUCCAGGUUAGCUAUUUCUUCAAUUCUCCGUAACGUUUUCUUUUUGAAUGUUGUCUGAUCCGUAAACAUUCCUAUAUUCCUUACUGCCAUCUUUGUAUGUAAAAGGAUAUCUUUCUUGACGUUUGGUUUAUGAUAAAUAUAUUUGUCUAAGUUCUUUUGUUGCAAUUUUUGCAUUGAAAUCAACCUUCUCUAAGGAGUUGGAAGUGACCAAGGAUAUGCGACUCAUACCUUAUCGCUCUGCUAAGUAGUGCUCUUAACAAAAGGAAGGUAAAAUCGAUAUUGGUUGUCAAUAAGAACAGCAAGUCCAAACUUUUAUUGUUUUAGGUAUAUUGGCUCCCUAACAGUACCACAGGAUGUUAUCUGGAAUACUAAUAGAAAGUUUUACAGGUGAAAACCAAAUGAAACUGAUCCCAGAUGCUGUUCAUGACGCGAGUUGCUGCCAAAUUUAUAAGAGUUUUUUCCUAAUUAUGAUUCAUCCAUUAUAGUAUUUUUCUGGACUUCUUUUUUUUCCUUUUGUUGUUUAUCACAGGAAUCUGAAACCAAUGCAAGACCAGCUCAGCCACUUAAACAGAAGUGAAAUGAUUUUGUAGCUAUAGUUUCAGAAAGCAUACCUUACACUCUUUAAAUCAUAUUGUCGCUAUUGCUGUUGAUCAUAUAGAAAUCUUUACAAACUUUUUUUAAGU